GGAGAGAUGCUCGAGUGGUUUAAGAGGCACGCCUGGAAAGCGUGUGUACGCCAAAAGUGUACCGCGGGUUCGAAUCCCGCUUUCUCCGCCA
Molecule: transfer RNA, 91 nt
Filed under: Tannerellaceae bacterium
Lineage: Bacteria; Pseudomonadati; Bacteroidota; Bacteroidia; Bacteroidales; Tannerellaceae
Description: tRNA-Ser
Rfam family: tRNA
About the family: Transfer RNA (tRNA) molecules are approximately 80 nucleotides in length.
Source: RNAcentral